CGGAUGCGGAUCUCAAGGCCUGUCCCAGUUCGGACUGGAGUCUGCAACCCGACUCCACGAAGUUGGAUUCGCUAGUAAUCGCGCAUCAGCCAUGGCGCGGUGAAUACGUUCCCGGGCCUUGUACACACCGCCCGUCAAGCCAUGGGAGCCGGGGGCGCCUGAAGUCCGGGACCGCGAGGACCGGCCUAGGGCGAAACUGGUAACUGGGGCUAAGUCGUAACAAGGUAGC
RNAcentral lists this ribosomal RNA (229 nucleotides) under uncultured bacterium. RNAcentral describes it as "partial 16S ribosomal RNA". It matches the Rfam family "Bacterial small subunit ribosomal RNA", at positions 1262 to 1500 of the family's 1533-position model. The record is from RNAcentral.